CACACGACUCUCGGCAACGGAUAUCUCGGCUCUCAUAUCGAUGAAGAACAUAGCGAAAUGCGAUACCUGGUGUGAAUUGCAGAAUCCCGUGAACCAUCGAGUCUUUGAACGCAAGUUGCGCCCGAGGCCACUCGGUCGAGGGCACGCCUGCCUGGGCGUCACGC
RNAcentral lists this ribosomal RNA (164 nucleotides) under Elymus repens. RNAcentral's name for it is "5.8S ribosomal RNA". It matches the Rfam family "5.8S ribosomal RNA". From Rfam's summary of the family: 5.8S ribosomal RNA (5.8S rRNA) is a component of the large subunit of the eukaryotic ribosome. It is transcribed by RNA polymerase I as part of the 45S precursor that also contains 18S and 28S rRNA. Lineage: Eukaryota; Viridiplantae; Streptophyta; Magnoliopsida; Poales; Poaceae. The record is from RNAcentral.